This 247-nucleotide ribosomal RNA is filed under the name uncultured bacterium. RNAcentral describes it as "partial 16S ribosomal RNA". It matches the Rfam family "Bacterial small subunit ribosomal RNA", at positions 68 to 305 of the family's 1533-position model. The record is from RNAcentral.
GAGAACGGGUUAUAGCUUGCUAUAACUGUCAGCUAAGUGGCGCACGGGUGAGUAACGCGUAAAGAAUUUGCCCUUCAGACGGGGACAACUAAUCGAAAGGUUAGCUAAUACCGGAUAUUAUGAGACCUUGGCAUCAAGGACUUAUGAAAGCUAUAUGCGCUGGAGGAGAACUUUGCGUUCCAUUAGCUAGUUGGUAGGGUAAUGGCCUACCAAGCCAACGAUGGGUAGCCGGCCUGAGAGGGUGAAC